UGGGGAAUCUUGCACAAUGGGGGCAACCCUGAUGCAGCGACGCCGCGUGAGCGAUGAAGCCCUUCGGGGCGUAAAGCUCUUUCGACCGGAACGAUAAUGACGGUACCGGGAGAAGAAGCUGCGGCUAACUACGUGCCAGCAGCCGCGGUAAUACGUAGGCAGCAAGCGUUAAUCGGAAUUACUGGGCGUAAAGCGUGCGCAGGCGGUUCGGGAAGAAAGGUGUGAAAUCCCAGGGCUUAACCUUGGAACUGCACUUUUAACUACCGGGCUAGAGUACGUCAGAGGGGGGUAGAAUUCCACGGGUAGCAGUGAAAUGCGUAGAGAUGUGGAGGAGUACCGAUGGCGAAGGCAGCCCCCUGGGAUGAUACUGACGCUCAUGCACGAAAGCGUGGGGAGCAAACA
Molecule: ribosomal RNA, 402 nt
Filed under: uncultured bacterium
Lineage: Bacteria
Description: bacterial SSU rRNA
Rfam family: Bacterial small subunit ribosomal RNA
Source: RNAcentral